Molecule: ribosomal RNA, 490 nt
Filed under: uncultured bacterium
Lineage: Bacteria
Description: partial 16S ribosomal RNA
Rfam family: Bacterial small subunit ribosomal RNA
Source: RNAcentral
AGUGAACGCUGGCGGUAGGCCUAACACAUGCAAGUCGAACGGCAGCACAGGAGAGCUUGCUCUCUGGGUGGCGAGUGGCGGACGGGUGAGGAAUACAUCGGAAUCUGCCCAUUCGUGGGGGAUAACGUAGGGAAACUUACGCUAAUACCGCAUACGACCUUCGGGUGAAAGAGGGGGAUCGCAAGACCUCUCGCGAUUGGAUGAGCCGAUGUCGGAUUAGCGAGUUGGCGGGGUAAUGGCCCACCAAGGCGACGAUCCGUAGCUGGUCUGAGAGGAUGAUCAGCCACACUGGAACUGAGACACGGUCCAGACUCCUACGGGAGGCAGCAGUGGGGAAUAUUGGACAAUGGGCGCAAGCCUGAUCCAGCCAUACCGCGUGGGUGAAGAAGGCCUUCGGGUUGUAAAGCCCUUUUGUUGGGAAAGAAAUCUUUCAGGCUAAUACCCUGGGAGGAUGACGGUACCCAAAGAAUAAGCACCGGCUAACUUCGUG